CCCUCUUCUCUGUGGCCUCAGGGCUGUCACACCAUUUUGCCCCUGGUCCCCACCCCCGCUGCUCCCUCCUGGGCCUGAGGAUGCUCCUAGGAGCGGGAGAACUUCGGGCCAGUGACGAUGUAAAAGAGGCCGGGGCCUUGCCCUCGGCCCAGCUCUGCACGCAGUGGCCUGUCGUGGGCCUGUCCCGGGACCCAAGCACCCGGGUGGCAUAGAGUGAUCCACCGGCGACCUCCCACCGCUGGGGUCUGGACCGCACUGUCUAGUUUGGGAGACCUGCACCUGAGCGGUGCCUGUGCUCCGUCCUUGACGCCGGGGGUCAUCUCCAGAGAAACAUCUCCCAGCGUUGUCUCUUAUGUUUUGUACAGUAAUGGUGAUAGGAAUUUUUAAGCAUGGGAGCGCAAAACCCCACAUGAUUUCUAAGGAGAGUCCAACAAAAUUUGUGAGGUAUCUUAAAUGCAGAGUGCUCGGAGUUUUCUUUGUAGUCAUGCUGGCUUUGGAGCAACUUUUAAUUAAGAAAGCUUGUAUAACAUCUGAGUUCACCAAUUUGGCUCUGGAGCAUACAGUACUUCUAUCUUUAAUUGAAGCGUGGAAAUGUGAAGCUACUUCAGUGAUUUUAUACUGGAUGUUGACAAAAAAGGAUUGUUGAAGACACACAAGUUGACAAAUGACAUUCAAUUACCAAUGGAAUACCUUUGAAAAAUGCUAACGUGUUUGAAUUAAAAGAGAUUUCAUGUCUAUAUAAAACAAUAUUCUGUUACCAAGAAGUUUUUCCUUAAUUGUUUCAGAUAGUUUGGCAUUCUCUACUUUACCUGACCUCUCAUCUUUGCUCUCAAAACACAGUAUUUGAAGUGAUUUUAGACCUGAAAUCAGUGGUAGCCAUACAGACACAUGUUGAACUAGUAGAGAUUGUAUAAUAUGAAAGAUGAAUUAAUUUCUCUUCCUAGAGUUUAUGUCCUGGAAGGCAGACACAUUCAAGAGCCGAGUCGCUGACACACAGUGGUAUUGUUCUGUCUUAGGCUUUUUAAACAAUUCAAACUCCUAAAUUGCUACACCUUCCACUUUUAGUAGGUGCUUUGCUCUGUAAUUUGAACCUCAACAGGUUUCUAAAAAUGUGGACAUUAUUAUAUGAUUAGUAUACAGAGAACUUUGACUUUGAAAAUUCAGCUAGGAACUGGUAAGCAGACGUGGGUUAAAAUUAGCAAAGCUUUUAUGCAUGAGUAGCUUACAGCCCCACAGUAGUGGGAUUUUUCUGGAUUCUCAGAGGAGAUUUGUAAAGAGAAACGGAACAAGAUUUAAAAACUGGUUUUGUACUUUGGGUUUUCAGUCUCGUUUUCAUAAAGGAGUGGAUAAUGGUCUUGAAAUUGUAUAAUUAGCCUUUUCCAAAAGGAGGCAAAGACUUCCAAACGUCAUUGAAACAGUUUUUCAACUUAAUAUUUCAUUCCAAGUCAAAUGCAUAGUUUUAUUUGGCAUGUACAUAAUACCUGUAAAUGCAGCUGAUACUUUAAUAAUCUUAGCUUGAUAACAUUUUGAGUAGUUCUUCACUUAACUAAUAAUCUAAAUGUUUAUAUGUGAUCAUGGAACAUUCAUUUAACUAUGUAAAAUCAGAGAAGCACUUUGUUUUAAAGUUAAUAAAUUGAAAAUGGGUCAGAAAAUAGAGUGGCUUUCUUUUCCAUUACAGUAAUCUCUUCAUUAUAUUUUAUAUUUAAAUUACCAACAAUUCCACUUAUGAGUAUAGUAUGAUCAUUACGUUACAUUUCUUCAUUGAACUUUAAUGACUUUUGGGGAAAAUACUAGAUUAAAAAGAACUGUAACUUCUUUAAUAAGUCUAACUUCAGAUAUGAAAUAGUUAUUUCCCCCCCCUUCGGUUUUUUUUUUUUUUUUUUGAGACAGAGUUUUUCUGUGUAGCCCUGGUUGUCCUAGAACUCACCCUGUAGACCAGGCUAGCCUCUAACUCACAGAGAUCUGAGAAAUAGGCAUCCUUUAAUGUGUUUCAUUAGGACAAUAAAUUCUAUUUAUGGGCAUUGUCCAUGAUAUACACAAGCUUUCUAGUUUAAAAUACCCUUUCUACUUAACUUUUCAGACUAUGCAGCAUCUCAUAAGUAGGAUUCUUGACAAUUUUCAAGUAGAAAAUACAGAGCAAAGUACCUAAUAAAACUGGAAGGUGUAGCAAUUUAGGAGUUUCAAUUGUUUGAAGGCUUAAUCAAGCAAUGGGACCUUUUAGUUUUAAGGGAUUUUUAUUCUUCAAAAUGCAACAGGGAACUGAAAAAAAUAAAAUUAGGACACUUC
Molecule: long non-coding RNA, 2286 nt
Filed under: Cricetulus griseus (Chinese hamster)
Lineage: Eukaryota; Metazoa; Chordata; Mammalia; Rodentia; Cricetidae
Description: lncRNA (ENSCGRG00000024841.1)
Source: RNAcentral